RNAcentral lists this ribosomal RNA (279 nucleotides) under uncultured bacterium. RNAcentral's name for it is "partial 16S ribosomal RNA". It matches the Rfam family "Bacterial small subunit ribosomal RNA", at positions 506 to 784 of the family's 1533-position model. The record is from RNAcentral.
UGCCAGCAGCCGCGGUAAUACGGAGGGGGUUAGCGUUGUUCGGAAUUACCGGGCGUAAAGCGUACGUAGGCGGCUUUACAAGUCGGGUGUGAAAGCCCUGAGCUUAACUCAGGAACUGCAUUCGAUACUGUAUCGCUAGAGUUUAUUAGAGGAUAGCGGAAUUCCAGGUGUAGCGGUGAAAUGCGUAGAUAUCUGGAGGAACACCAAUGGCGAAGGCAGCUAUCUGGGAUACAACUGACGCUGAGGUACGAAAGCGUGGGGAGCAAACAGGAUUAGAUA